RNAcentral lists this ribosomal RNA (484 nucleotides) under uncultured bacterium. Its description in RNAcentral is "partial 16S ribosomal RNA". It matches the Rfam family "Bacterial small subunit ribosomal RNA", at positions 30 to 507 of the family's 1533-position model. The record is from RNAcentral.
AUUGAACGCUGGCGGCAUGCUUUACACAUGCAAGUCGGACGGCAGCGCGGGCUUCGGCCUGGCGGCGAGUGGCGAACGGGUGAGUAAUACAUCGGAACGUGCCCUGCCGUGGGGGAUAGCUCGGCGAAAGCCGGAUUAAUACCGCAUACGACCUGAGGUUGAAAGCGGGGGACCUUAGGGCCUCGCGCUUUUUGAGCGGCCGAUGGCAGAUUAGCUAGUUGGUGGGGUAAAGGCUUACCAAGGCGACGAUCUGUAGCUGGUCUGAGAGGACGACCAGCCACACUGGAACUGAGACACGGCCCAGACUCCUACGGGAGGCAGCAGUGGGGAAUUUUGGACAAUGGGCGCAAGCCUGAUCCAGCAAUGCCGCGUGUGUGAUGAAGGCCUUCGGGUUGUAAAGCACUGUUGGCAGGAACGAAAAGUGCCGUGCUAAUACCACGGUACGAUGACGGUACCUGCAGAAUAAGCACCGGCUAACUACGUG